This 107-nucleotide small nuclear RNA is filed under the name Bison bison bison. Lineage: Eukaryota; Metazoa; Chordata; Mammalia; Artiodactyla; Bovidae. The record is from RNAcentral.
GUGCUUGCUUCGGCAGCACAUAUACCAAAAUUGGAAUGCUACAGAGAAAAUUAGCAUGGCCCCUGCCCAGGGAUGACACCCAAAUUCAUGAAGCGUUCCUUGUUUUU